UCCUGGUGGCGAGUGGCGAACGGGUGAGUAAUAUAUCGGAACGUGCCCAGUCGUGGGGGAUAACGCACCGAAAGCUGUGCUAAUACCGCAUACGAUCUCUGGAUGAAAGCGGGGGACUCGCAAGGGCCUCGCGCGAUUGGAGCGGCCGAUAUCAGAUUAGCUAGUUGGUGGGGUAAAAGCCCACCAAGGCGACGAUCUGUAGCUGGUCUGAGAGGACGACCAGCCACACUGGAACUGAGACACGGUCCAGACUCCUACGGGAGGCAGCAGUGGGGAAUUUUGGACAAUGGGCGCAAGCCUGAUCCAGCAAUGCCGCGUGCAGGAUGAAGGCCUUCGGGUUGUAAACUGCUUUUGUACGGAACGAAACGGUCCUUUCUAAUAAAAGGGGCUAAUGACGGUACCGUAAGAAUAAGCACCGGCUAACUACGUGCCAGCAGCCGCGGUAAUACGUAGGGUGCGAGCGUUAAUCGGAAUUACUGGGCGUAAAGCGUGCGCAGGCGGUUAUAUAAGACAGAUGUGAAAUCCCCGGGCUCAACCUGGGCACUGCAUUUGUGACUGUAUAGCUAGAGUACGGUAGAGGGGGAUGGAAUUCCGCGUGUAGCAGUGAAAUGCGUAGAUAUGCGGAGGAACACCGAUGGCGAAGGCAAUCCCCUGGACCUGUACUGACGCUCAUGCACGAAAGCGUGGGGAGCAAACAGGAUUAGAUACCCUGGUAGUCCACGCCCUAAACGAUGUCAACUGGUUGUUGGGUCUUCACUGACUCAGUAACGAAGCUAACGCGUGAAGUUGACCGCCUGGG
This 799-nucleotide ribosomal RNA is filed under the name uncultured bacterium. RNAcentral describes it as "bacterial SSU rRNA". It matches the Rfam family "Bacterial small subunit ribosomal RNA", at positions 83 to 877 of the family's 1533-position model. The record is from RNAcentral.